GAUGAACGCUGGCGGUAUGCUUAACACAUGCAAGUCGAACGGACUCUUCGGAGUUAGUGGCGGACGGGUGAGUAACGCGUGAGAAUCUGGCUUUGGGUUCGGGACAACCACUGGAAACGGUGGCUAAUACCGGAUGUGCCGAGAGGUAAAAGAGAAAUUGCCUGAAGAUGAGCUCGCGUCUGAUUAGCUAGUUGGUGAGGUAAAGGCUCACCAAGGCAGCGAUCAGUAGCUGGUCUGAGAGGAUGACCAGCCCCACUGGGACUGAGACACGGCCCAGACUCCUACGGGAGGCGGCAGUGGGGAAUUUUCCGCAAUGGGCGAAAGCCUGACGGAGCAAUACCGCGUGAGGGAAGAAGGCUCUUGGGUUGUAAACCUCUUUUCUUAGGGAAGAACAAAAUGACGGUACCUAAGGAAUCAGCAUCGGCUAACUCCGUG
Molecule: ribosomal RNA, 435 nt
Filed under: uncultured bacterium
Lineage: Bacteria
Description: partial 16S ribosomal RNA
Rfam family: Bacterial small subunit ribosomal RNA
Source: RNAcentral